GAUUUCUUGGUUUAGAUGGUUACACGCCUGUAUAACUCACAGGCGGUCGCCGGUUCGAGACCGUAGAAGUCA
This is a non-coding RNA of Smittium megazygosporum, 72 nucleotides long. The record is from the annotation of a GenBank genome assembly. NCBI's taxonomy places the organism in Eukaryota, Fungi, Kickxellomycota, Harpellomycetes, Harpellales, Legeriomycetaceae.